Molecule: long non-coding RNA, 4089 nt
Filed under: Cucumis sativus (cucumber)
Lineage: Eukaryota; Viridiplantae; Streptophyta; Magnoliopsida; Cucurbitales; Cucurbitaceae
Description: long non-coding RNA (CSAT_LNC002215)
Source: RNAcentral
AAACAUUCAAUUGUACUAAUUAAUUAAAUAUUCAACUAAAAAAUAUUUAAUUAAUUUAUUUCUACAAAACCAUCAAUUCUAAAUCAAAUAUUUCAAAUUAACGUCUACUAGUUAUAACAUAAUUAAAUAAAAUUAAGAUAAUUAUAUUCAAUAUUACCUUAAUCGUUGGGGGUUACAAUCUUCCCUCCGGUGUGAAACUUUCAUCUUCGAAAGUUCUAUUCAUCGAACAACUUGAAAUAUUAGACUCUCAUAUUUUAACAUUUUUCAUCAAAUUCCAAAAUCUUUAAUUAAAGAUACAUACCUAUGUAUAUAUAUUUAAUUAACUGAACACAUUACACUAAAUAAAUUCUUUACCUAAUUUUAAUCUAACACUAAAUAAAUUUCAUAACUUUCAUUUCCAUUUAAUGCAAUACUCAUAAUAAGUUCCUUAAACUUUUGGGGUGUUACAAUCUUCCCUUGCUAAGAAACUUUUGUCCCUCAAAAGUUAUAGUCCUUGAACAAUUCGGGUAUCAUGCUCUGUUAGCUCUCAUUCCACUCUCCUUUAUUUAUUUUUAUUUAUUUUAAUAUCUCCUACAUUGUGAAAAACAAGUUAGAAUACUUUUUAUACUCCUUAAAGUUUGAGUCAUUUUGAUAAGAACAAUUAUAACCAAUUUAGUUGGACAUAAGACUUGAAUUCCGUUAGAUGUUGAAAAAAAUGAAGAUAAAAGCAAAAUGAAAGUUAAUUAUAAAGUGAGGGGCAGAAUGGUCUUUUCUUAAGAUCAUUCUAAGAAAAUUCGAAUGCUUAUCAUAUUCAAAAUUUAAAUACAUACAUUAUAUCAAAACAUAAUAUCAAUACAUACAUACAUUUUUUUAAAUUCAAUAAAUAGAUAUACAUACAUUUUUCAUUAUAUUAUGCACUACAUACAUACAUACAUUUUUCUAAUAUUUAACAAACAUACAUUUGAAUCUAAAUCCUAAAAACAUUCAUUAUCUUAUACACAUUCAAUUUUCUAAUUUUUCUUUUAUAAAAAGAUAAUAACCUUGUGGCGGUGAACGACAAUGGAGAACGGUGGGCGGCAAAAAGAACGGUGGUGGCGACAACGAACAACAUGAACGGUGGCGCAAGACAACAAGCUCUCUUCCUGAUCUCUCUCAACCCUCUUUACAAUUCUCUUUGUGUUUUUGUUCUGUUUUGUGUUCAUGAAGAAAGAAAUAGACCCGACAUUUCCCAACGUUCUAAAAAAAGUCAGGGUAACACACCAUCCUUGACGUCGUACAUGCAAACGUCAGAGAACGUUAAAACCUUCCUCGACGUGUCACUAAUGGUGUCGCAGAUAGGUUACAUUUCAAAUUUAUUAGAUAUUAUUUUUCCACGACAUGGUCAACGCGACAUCGGUCAAAGGGGACCUAAUUCUGACGUGCCUCUACCACAUGUAGGGAAAGUUUACGUAUUUACUAACUGUAUUAUUCUACUUUUCCUAACGUGUGUUAGGGACACGCCAAGGAAAAGUGAAACAAUUAUUUAAUUAAUGUUCCCACUUUCUCCGACGUGUCUCUACCACACGUUGGAGAAAGUGGAAACAUUAAAUAAUUGUCUCCAUCUUCUCUGACGUGUGUCUCUUGAACGUUGGGGAACAUCUCUAAAGCCGACGCAAGUAACAAUUUGGUUGGUCAAGGUCGAUGCCAAUUUUUCCAACAUCGUUUUGUAUAUAUUCAAGUAAAAAUAGAAAUAUUAUAGUAUCUAAAAGAACAUUGUUGACUAACCCGAGACAAAGAAUGUCGGUUCUUAACUAUUGGGAAUCAUAAAAAAUAGACAAUAAUAUAACAAUUUAACAAAAAUAAAUUUGUAAAAACAAACACAAGAAGACAAGACUUUAAUGUCGAUUUUAAACUGAUAUUAUUGGGGAUUUAUGAUGUCGGUUUUAUACCGACAUUGUUGGCCUCUUUAAUGUCAGCUUUAAACCAACACCAAAGCCCAAUCGAUGUUAAAGGACUUUAAUAACAUGAUCAUAGAUGUCAAUUUAAAAUAGACACCGUACCUCUUUAAUGUAGAUUUGAAACCAACUUCAAAGCCCAAUCAACAUUAAAGAGCUUUAAUAACACUAUCAUAGAUAUCAGUUGUCAACCGACAUGAAAACCCUUUAAUGUUGGUUUUAAACCAACAUUAAAGCCUAGUUUUAUACUAGCAUUACCUUCCAUCCUGGCAGGACAAGCACCAGGAUUUGCCCAAGAACUUAAAUCUCUAAAGCUUGUUAUCCUUCAUCUUGAUUAGGAAACACCGAGAUUAGUCUCGAGAUUAGGAUUCUUAACUUCUCUGCCUUCCAUUUUGGCUAGAUAAGAAUCGAGAUUAGCCCGAGAACUCAAUAUCUAAAGCUUUAUGUUUUUCAUCUCAGCCAAGAAACAUCGAGGUUAUCCUCGGGGUUAGGCUUCUUAACUUCUCUGCCUUAUUCCAUCCUGGCCACAAGCACCAAGAGAUUAGCUCGAGAACUCUAUCUCUAAAGCCUUUUGUCCUUCUUCUCGAUCGAGAAAUACCGAGAUUAGCCUCGAGAUUAAACUUCUUAACUCCUUUGCCUUCCAUCUCGGUUGGACAAGCAAUGACAUUAGUCCAGGAACUCAAUCUCUAAAGUUUUAUGUCCUUCAUCUCAGUCGGGAAACAUCGAGAUUAGCCCCAAAAUUUCACUUCUUUCUUCAAUUUCACUUAACUUCUCUAUCUUCCAUCCCAAUCAGGCAACACCGGGAUUAACACAAUAACUUAAUCUCUAAAGCUUUUUGUCCUUCAUCUUGGGUUGGAAAACACCAAGAUUAAUCCUAAGCUUUCACUUCUAACAUUUUGUGUGCCGUGUAUGCCACCAAAGAUGGAAAGAAAAUAAUUGCAAUUAGUUCGAGUGAUUUAGGUUUUUAUGGCCUUUUUUUGGUAUUUCACCGUCUAUUUUGAGUUUUGUACAUAAUGGGUUAAAAAAUUGCUAGGAGAUGUAAAUAUUUUGCCUAAUUAUUCUAUUUCAAGGAAUCUCUCGGUAUAAAACAUAUCUUUAAUUAUUUAAAAUUAAUUUUGUGAUAUCAAACUUAUAAAAAGGAAAAUUACAAUCUAAAACUGUAAAAUUAAAUAUUAAAUUAAUUAAUUUUGAAAUAAUAAAAUAUGGUGUUUCGAAAUAAAUAGUGAACAUAUUUAGCACUUCCAAAUCAUGACAUCCCAACAAUCAAUCAUCUAAAAACACUUAUUUGCAAAAGACAAUGCAUUUCAUCCCAUAGAAAUAAUUUAUUUCCCUCUACAACUACUAUAUAUUAUAAUAAAGAUUAAUUUAUAAACAAACCCAACUAGGUGUCACUUAAUUAAUUGAUUGAGUUCGUAUUCAAUAUAUUAAAAUAGAGUUUAUUAUGAUCCGGCCAAAUGUAACAAAACUAAAAUAGAAAGAAAAAAGUUCCAUAACAAAUUCAAUGAGAAAGAAAAAACAAUCCUUUUAACAUUAUUGAUGCUUCGUAUAAGGAGCAGAAGCCUCCUCCUUUCUGUGACAAAUGCUUCUUUUUUAAUAUCAUAUCUCACCUAUGUCGAAACUAAUAUUAAACUUUUUUCCCUUAAAAUGCAUCUGAGAAAAAUUCUUCUCACUUAUUUUUCAAAAUAUUAUUUACCUGUUUGAAUCAAAUACACAGCUCGAAAUACGCCCAACAAAUCUAGAAGGGAGGUGGCGGGGACUUUUUGACGUGAUUGGGAGGCCAUUGAAACUUGGGCGGUGGGGGAGGCGGCGGGCGUGCAACAGUUCCACAUAGUGGCGGUGGUGGAAGAUAUUUUCUGUGGUGGCGAUGGCGAUGACGAUUUUUGAACGGAGAAGAGUGGGCAUCAACAAGGGACAGGAAGCUUGAAGAAAGGAGUAAUAAUGUCACCAAAAUGGCGAAAAGGAGAGAAGACAUCGAAGACUUCAUUUUGUUUUGUUUUGGCGUUUUAAUGAAAUCAUAUGGUUUUGUUUGGGUUUGUAUAUAUAUUGUCACACCAUACCAACUACUCCCCGGCGGCUGUUUGACAUUUUCCAAAUUGGUGAGUGAGAAUUAAGUUGGGAUGUGAUAGCUAUGACCCCGUUCAUUUAUUUUUAAUAACUAAAUAAUUUUGGAGUGCCA